Molecule: small RNA, 1017 nt
Filed under: Pongo abelii (Sumatran orangutan)
Lineage: Eukaryota; Metazoa; Chordata; Mammalia; Primates; Hominidae
Description: retained intron
Source: RNAcentral
AGUUGCUGUUUUCUGCUGUUAUGUAACGUACUUCUCUUUAGGAAGUUUGGUUCUCUUUUCAAAGUCUGUUUUUCUUUUUUUUUUAUUUAGGGGGUAUAACAUGUAUUCUUUCACUAAUCUGUGCCUUGGCUCUUGCCUACUUGGAUCAGAGAGCAGAGAGAAUCCUUCAUAAAGAACAAGGAAAAACAGGUGAAGUUAUUAAAUUAACUGAUGUGAAGGACUUCUCCUUACCCCUGUGGCUCCUAUUUAUCAUCUGUGUCUGCUAUUAUGUUGCUGUGUUCCCUUUUAUUGGACUUGGGAAAGUUUUCUUUACAGAGAAAUUUGGAUUUUCUUCCCAGGCAGCAAGUGCAAUUAACAGUGUUGUAUAUGUCAUAUCAGCUCCCAUGUCCCCGGUGUUUGGGCUCCUGGUGGAUAAAACAGGGAAGAACAUCAUCUGGGUUCUUUGCGCGGUAGCAGCCACUCUUGUGUCCCACAUGAUGCUGGCCUUUACAAUGUGGAACCCUUGGAUUGCUAUGUGUCUUCUGGGACUCUCCUAUUCAUUGCUUGCCUGUGCAUUGUGGCCAAUGGUGGCAUUUGUAGUUCCUGAACAUCAGCUGGGAACUGCAUAUGGCUUCAUGCAGUCCAUUCAGAAUCUUGGGCUGGCCAUCAUUUCCAUCAUUGCUGGUAUGAUACUGGAUUCUCGGGGGUAUUUGUUUUUAGAAGUGUUCUUCAUUGCCUGUGUUUCUUUGUCACUUUUAUCUGUGGUCUUACUCUAUUUGGUGAAUCGUGCCCAGGGUGGGAACCUAAAUUAUUCUGCAAGACAAAGAGAAGAAAUAAAAUUUUCCCAUACUGAAUGAGAAGUUAAAAUGAAUGUGUCAUGAGAAUGGGCUUAACACAUCGUUGGUUUGAAAACCUCCAUUUUUAGAAAUUAAGAGUUUAGUCAUUAGAAAAAAUAAUGGACUGGAAAGUUAUAUUUAUAUCCAAAUAUACCUAUUUCAAAGUGUAUUUGUGAGGCCUGUUUUAGCCUGUGUCUUUUGU